This is a long non-coding RNA of Dromiciops gliroides (monito del monte), 1525 nucleotides long. RefSeq lists it as uncharacterized. The transcript has 3 exons. The record is from RefSeq and is a predicted model, not a curated record. NCBI's taxonomy places the organism in Eukaryota, Metazoa, Chordata, Mammalia, Microbiotheria, Microbiotheriidae.
AUCCUGAUAUAUAUAUCUUGCCACUGGACCCAGAUGGCUCUGGAGGAGAGAGUGAGGUUGGUGACUUUGCACAGCCCACCCUCACUUCAAUCCAAUUCAAUGAUAUGGCAUCACCUUGUGUGUGAAGUGGCCCAUGAGCUGAAGGAACUAGAAAUUCCAAGAGGCUGGAGAUGAGGAGGGAGAGCAUUCCAGGCAUAGGGGAUGGCAAAUACAGUCAGAAAAUGAAACUCCUACUUUGUUUGGGUCUUGCUGUUGCCUAGGAAGAGGAUAUUUGCUUUUGAUCUAUGUUUUGAAUAGUUGUACCUCUGAACCAUAAAAUCAUAGUCAACAUGGCAUCCAUGACAUAUUCAAGUGCCUGAAAAGUGAAGUUAUUUGGAUGUUUCCUAAUCUUUUUUUUUUUUUUUUUAGUGAGGCAAUUGGGGUUAAGUGACUUGCCCAGGGUCACACAGCUAGUAAGUGUUAAGUGUCUGAGGCCAGAUUUGAACUCAGGUACUCCUGACUCCAGGGCCAGUGCUCUAUCCACUGUGCCACCUAGCUGCCCUCCUAAUCUUUUGACAUAAAAGAGGUCCUGGGUGCUUGAGUUAUGUGACAGAUACAUUGAUAUACAGAUGGCAGUAAGUCCUCUUGAGCAUUUAGAAGAUAAGUUGAUAAGAUUCCUCUGCUGAGUUGCUUUAUGAAGUUAGGGCAGCCACCUAGCUCCCAGACCACAUUUCUUUUGACUUUUUUGUUUUUUGGGCAGGGCAAUGAGGGUUAAGUGACUUGCCCAGGGUCACCCAGCUAGUAAGUGUCAGUGUCUGAAUUUGAAUUUGAAUUUGAUUUGAAUUCAGGUCCUUCUGAAUCCAGUGCUGGUUCACUGUGCCAUCUAGCUGCCCCAAUACCACCUACCUACCUCUCUUUUGACUUUUCAGCAUAGAUUUUCACUUCAUUUCCCCCCCACUCCCACAUAGCCCUUCCUGCCUCCUAUUCCUUCUUCUAGUACAUAUCUAUCCUCAUGAUUUGAUCUACCCACAAACCUAAGAACAUAUUGGUGUCCCUGGUUGACUUUCCCUGGCUAUAUGCCCCUUCUCGGAAUUGAAAUGGCCAGGCAUCCUGAACCUGAUGGAAAUUAAUAUGUAACUUCUGAGGCUGCUAACGUGACCUGCUCAUUCUCUCUAUUGGAGAUCUAGGGUGGGUGAAAUAGCAAUUUGUCAUACAGAAUUCAGUACAUAGAAAAGAGAUCAAUAACAAAAUAAACAAGAUGGCAGCAUAACAAAAUGUAAGAAAUGAUGAGAGAGAUGGUUUCAGAAAAACCUGGGAAGAUACACAUGGAUUGAUACAGAAUGAAGUGAGAAGAACCCAGAAAACACUUUUUAGUAAAAUACCAGCACUGUAUUUGAAAGGUGUAAAAACUCUUAACAGUGCAACGAUCAAUCAUGAUGAAUGAAGAAUGCUGCCUAAAUUCUGAUAGAGAAGCGAUGGGCAGAAUGAGGGAGGAGAAGGAGGAGAUGUGGGAAGCAGCAGCAGCAGCAGCAGCAGCAGCAGCAGC